UGGGGCGUCGCCAAGCGGUAAGGCAACGGUUUUUGGUAUCGUCAUCCCAGGUUCGAAUCCUGGCGCCCCAGCCA
Molecule: transfer RNA, 74 nt
Filed under: Alphaproteobacteria bacterium
Lineage: Bacteria; Pseudomonadati; Pseudomonadota; Alphaproteobacteria
Description: tRNA-Gln
Rfam family: tRNA
About the family: Transfer RNA (tRNA) molecules are approximately 80 nucleotides in length. Their secondary structure includes four short double-helical elements and three loops (D, anti-codon, and T loops). Further hydrogen bonds mediate the characteristic L-shaped molecular structure. tRNAs have two regions of fundamental functional importance: the anti-codon, which is responsible for specific mRNA codon recognition, and the 3' end, to which the tRNAs corresponding amino acid is attached (by aminoacyl-tRNA synthetases). tRNAs cope with the degeneracy of the genetic code in two manners: having more than one tRNA (with a specific anti-codon) for a particular amino acid; and 'wobble' base-pairing, i.e. permitting non-standard base-pairing at the 3rd anti-codon position.
Source: RNAcentral